RNAcentral lists this ribosomal RNA (359 nucleotides) under uncultured bacterium. RNAcentral's name for it is "partial 16S ribosomal RNA". The record is from RNAcentral.
UAAAAAAUUAAGAAAAGAAAAAAAGAAAAAAAGAAAGAAGUAGAAGAAAACCUUUCGAUAAAACCAAACAUAUCAGAAAACUGAUUGUUUCAUCUAUUCCUCUUCUCACUGUAGAAAAAUCAAGUGUUUUUACAAGAUCUUGUAUUUCAUUGAUUAAUUCAAACAUAUUCAAUUGAGGUAGGAUUCUUCCGAUGAUUCCCAAGACUUUUUUUUAAAAAAAAAAAAAGAAAAAGAAAAAGAAAAAGAAAAAAAAAAAAGUCAAAAGAGAUAUAAAAAAUAGUUUGGUGGUUUUUUUUUCUUGGUCAACUCACUUUUGAAAGAUGUAGUUCAAGAGAAUAACGGAAGAGUCAAGCUUAGAA